Molecule: long non-coding RNA, 3059 nt
Organism: Clupea harengus (Atlantic herring)
Lineage: Eukaryota; Metazoa; Chordata; Actinopteri; Clupeiformes; Clupeidae
Source: Ensembl
GCAUUAGACACAUCAGUAAACAUGUUGUGAACAGGGUUUAGGUAACAUUCCUGGACACCAGUGACAAUUGUAUGUUAUAUCUAAGCACUGUAAAGCUGAAUAACCCUUGGUAAAGGGUAAACCCUGGGUGAAUGAGUGUCUCUCUGUGUUGGGAUCCCAGAUGCUGAUCCUGAGCUCCCAGUCACAAGAAAAGACAGUAAUGAGAUGCUGCCACCAAACAGUAAGUCAUUACUGACUGAUUCUAACAGUCUCUAAGCCUUUACAUCAGGGGUCUAGAACAGAAAUAAUAGUUUGACUGUUUCUUAUCACUGAUUUAAUCUGAUCUCAAUUAAAACCCUCUUUCAGCUGUGAGACGUAGGAGGCAUAGAGAUGUGGUUAGGAGUUUGAAAUAAUGGCCUUGAUAUUAAUCAUGUGUAAAAAUGCCCUGAGAUUUAUUUAUCCAGAGAUUAGGAGAGAUAAAGCAUAACUACUAGAUCUUAAAAUUUACAUUUUGAUCAGGGAAAACAGACAAAACGGAAGCCAAUGGGGGUCAGAGAUGGAGUAAAAUUUCAGGUUCAGAAACAAUAUCUCUGCAAACAAACAUUUGUUCCCUAAAACCGCACAAAUGGUCUGGACAGUUUCCUGCCCCUGUUCACACAUGAGCUCACCUGGGCGUUGUCCUGGCACUGUACUAGGGGGCUGGCAGGGUCAUGUCGGCACCAUUUACACUGAAUUCUACCCCACAAACUAGUGAUUCGCUUUACUUUUAAAGUAUCAACGCAAUGGAAACUAAAGUUGCCUCGUUUUUCAACAUCAGGGCUGUGAUCGGACUUAAGCUACUGCUCUCUCAUUAUUCCCUUUAAACUUCUCUCAAGUUUUCUAUCAUAACUCUGGGAAUUUGACAUUAAAACAGCAGCAGGUUUGGGACACAUCAUUCCAAGACACAAUAAGGUGUGAGACUGAAUGGCUGUGCCCAGGCAAACUCCGGAUCCUAUUUUGUGGAUAUUGUCCAGAGUUCAUAUCUGAAAGAGGCUAAAGACAUCCCAGUUUACAUAUUCUAAACUGAUUUUACCCACUAUGUCUGCAAUUAGGUUGUGUCCAUGAAUCAAUUAAAUAGUUUAAGAACUGAAGGACUUUUAAAUGCUGUUACCAUCCAAAGAAGAUGAGUGGCUAUUGACUGAGUGAAUCUCCGUCUUCUCUUGUCAGUGGGAGGUUGGAGGCCUGUUAGACCUUUUUAGGUAGUCUGGCAUGCCUUGCCUUGAUGUUUUUGUAUAUUUCCUCUAACUAAAAAACAUUGAUGCAUAAGUGGCAUAUAUGUAGAAGAUUAAAGGUUUCUGGGGGUGUUCCUUUUUAGGACAAAAACUCGCAGAGAUUUAAAGGCAUAUUGAGAACAAGAACCUAAAACAAUUUUCCCACCGGUGGGAAAUAUGACAUUUUAGGGUUAAGACUAAUUACUUAUAAUGACACUUAACCCUCCUGUGGUGUUUGGUCUGUGGGACCCAUUGUCAAUGUACAAGAAGAAAAACGAAUUUGUUUUAAAAAGAACAUGUUAAACUUAUUCUGAUUGAGUGCAUAUUGUACCCCCUCUCACUAAUUCAUUGUGUAACAUAUGUUAUGUUCGGGCCCGCUGCACCCAGAUUUCAUAAAGGUUUAAACUGUAGGACACAGUUGGCCUCUGUAAUAUCUGAAACUCCUCAUAUAUCCAGACAAAGUUGCAAGUCAUAUGCAGUUGCAGUCAUAUUUAAAGCAUGGGAAUCUUUCCUCUCCAUCCUUUGUCACUUGUAUUUCAGUUGUUUCACAAUUGUUUUUAUGCUUGUCUCUAUACCAUGUACACUUCUCUCCAAAACUAUACACACAGUGGGCUUUACAGACACACACCAGAGCACAUCGCUCUUCCGAAUUUAUGAAGAAGUGGUCAUUAAAUACAUUUUGUAUCAAAGCAAUGCAAACGUAUCCAUAGUUAAGUUCACAAAGUUUGCUGAUAUGGUGAAUGUGUUAAGUCAUCUUCAUAUCGCAUAUGAUGUGAUUGAAAAAUUAGCUUGUUGUGAUGUUUAUGAAUGCCCUUCUCACUAAGUUGAAUGGGCUGUAAUGUGAUGUUUUCUGUCUCAGUGUCUGAAGUCCAGGCUGUUUAUCCUAAACCAGCGACCAGAGAGGAGUUCUCACAGUGUAAGUUGGACAUAAAGACAUGCAAGCUAUCACACAUAUACACACAUUGUGCACACGCACAUGCACACACAGGGAUACACUCACAUGCAUAAAAUCAUGAACAUAGUAGCAAACCCACAUACAAAUUCAACCCCCCCCCCCCCACACACACACACACACACACACACACACCAACACACACCUUCAUUCAUGCCUUUGAACUUUUGAAUACACAGCCACUGGAACAUUUACACCCUCAGUGUCACUCAUAUAUAAAAAUAACCCCAUUUACACACAAGCAUUCACACACACAUAAACACACACACAAUUUUAUUGAUAUAGCGCCAAAACAAUAAAAUUGACUCAAGCCGCUUUACAGAGUCCAGAGCUAGUACAAUGGCGACCGGGGCAAGGCAAGACUCCCUGUUAAUCAGGAAGAAACCUUAAGCAGAACCGGGGCACAUAAGGGGGGACCCAUCUGCUUGGAGCUGGCAGACUUUCACAUACAAAGACACUGGAACACUUUCACACUCCUAUAUACAAAGGACUCAUCUCACACAAAGGAAUCAAAUCAAACAAACCCAAGUACUUACAGAAACUCAACAUCAUUCAUUCAUAAAAAGGGCUACCUUCAGCCAAACACACAAACUGUCUUUUACACACACACACACACACACACAACACACCACACACACACACACACACACACACACACACACACACACCACACACACACACAAAGCCAUACUCACUUUUGAACGUUUAAAUACAGACAUUCAUACAUGUACACCUGCACAAACAUGUACAGAAUCACACACACAAAAACAAAUCUCACUUAUAUGUGAAACAUUCCCUCACAGAAGAAAUCACAGAAAUAAAUCUCAUCCCCCACACGCAAAGAUUCAUAUAAAAUAACAACAACAUCCACACACACA